ACAUAGAAUACGAGGCCGCGUGCGCUCGCCCGCCCGGCCCCGUCUCCUUACUACCUUGCCUACUGCACCGUUUGUCGCUUCCUGGCGGCGGCCUGCCCGCCGACCAGGGACGUUGAUACAACCCUGUAUAGAAGCAUUGAAGCUCUGAGAAAACGCGAAAUCGUA
This 165-nucleotide unclassified non-coding RNA is filed under the name soil metagenome. Its description in RNAcentral is "partial internal transcribed spacer 1". The record is from RNAcentral.